Molecule: long non-coding RNA, 680 nt
Organism: Salvia splendens (bonfire salvia)
Lineage: Eukaryota; Viridiplantae; Streptophyta; Magnoliopsida; Lamiales; Lamiaceae
Exons: 2
Source: RefSeq, a predicted model, not a curated record
UUAAAGAAAUGGGCUCAAAUUAAUAAUUGGACCAUGGGGUCAUUUAUUUGAGCUUUGGGCCAAGAGAUUUUAUUGGAAUGGGCGGCCUUAAGAGGUCUUAAGAAGCCUUAAGAAAAAAUCUGAGGAAAAAGGAAUUUAAGGAGGGAUUGUAAGAAUCCAUAUUUAUUGAGGAAAUAGAAUUUCUCCAAAAAAAGUAAAAGAGAAUGAUUAAGUGCUGCAGAGCAGUAAAGCCGAGUUAGGACUUAAGGAAAAAUCCUAUAAGCCGAGACUAAGAGAUAGAUGUUAUCCUGUAGGAUGCAUGCAUUCUUUUUCAGAAAAACAGUUCAAGUACUAAUUAGCGUGUUACGCUAUUUUCAAGGGAGAAAACAGUCAAGGGCAAGAGAGGCCUAACGAGGAAUUUAAGUGAAGAUAAGCACACGAGGUUGAACGUCAGGAUGGAGAAAAGAUUGAUUGGAGUCGAUGCUAUUAAAUAAGCCUGUGGAUAUCUCGACGAUUCGUGUCUUCAUACACGAAGUCGUUCAGUUGGGACCUAUUCCGCUGUGUUUUGUUGAAUGAGAAUAGUAUUGUCUCAUCAUUGAACUCUGAUUCAGUUGACAUAUCAAACAUUCCAUUUUGAGAUUGUACCAAAUACUCGACUGUUAUUUUGUUAAUAUCACAUUUGUCCUUCGACAAGUUCUUCA